CUGAAUAGAUGCCCUCUUUGCAAGCAAAGAGCGAGAGAAUACUUUACUAUCUGCAUAUUGAGCAUUGCACAACCAGAUGGUUUCUUUAUUUGCUAAUGCUCGGCAAACUUUCACCGGGAUUGAACACAAAGGACAUGCAAACCAAGUAAUACCACUCUGCAUCAGAGAGAUCCUCCGGAGACAAUGCAGCAGAAGGCCUAUUAGCCUGUUGGUCAAUUUCACCUUCAAGAAGAGACUUAUAAAGUUCUCUCAGUUGCUC
Molecule: unclassified non-coding RNA, 259 nt
Filed under: Hevea brasiliensis (rubber tree)
Lineage: Eukaryota; Viridiplantae; Streptophyta; Magnoliopsida; Malpighiales; Euphorbiaceae
Source: RNAcentral